RNAcentral lists this ribosomal RNA (497 nucleotides) under uncultured bacterium. RNAcentral's name for it is "partial 16S ribosomal RNA". It matches the Rfam family "Bacterial small subunit ribosomal RNA", at positions 28 to 507 of the family's 1533-position model. The record is from RNAcentral.
GACGAACGCUGGCGGCGUGCCUAAUACAUGCAAGUUGAGCGCUGAAGGUUGGUACUUGUACCAACUGGAUGAGCAGCGAACGGGUGAGUAACGCGUGGGGAAUCUGCCUUUGAGCGGGGGACAACAUUUGGAAACGAAUGCUAAUACCGCAUAAAAACUUUAAACACAAGUUUUAAGUUUGAAAGAUGCAAUUGCAUCACUCAAAGAUGAUCCCGCGUUGUAUUAGCUAGUUGGUGAGGUAAAGGCUCACCAAGGCGAUGAUACAUAGCCGACCUGAGAGGGUGAUCGGCCACAAUGGGACUGAGACACGGCCCAAACUCCUACGGGAGGCAGCAGUAGGGAAUCUUCGGCAAUGGGCGAAAGGCUGACCGAGCAACGCCGCGUGAGGGAAGAAGGUUUUCGGAUCGUAAAACUCUGUUGGUAGAGAAGAACGUUGGUGAGAGUGGAAAGCUCAUCAAGUGACGGUAACUACCCAGAAAGGGACGGCUAACUACGUG